AGGACUAUAGUCUAAAUAAAGACAUAUAAGUUGCAUUUAUAAAAUAUUUACAAAAAUUAGUUCUA
This 65-nucleotide transfer RNA is filed under the name Pylocheles mortensenii. RNAcentral's name for it is "tRNA-Ala". The record is from RNAcentral. Lineage: Eukaryota; Metazoa; Arthropoda; Malacostraca; Decapoda; Pylochelidae.